This 316-nucleotide ribosomal RNA is filed under the name uncultured archaeon. RNAcentral describes it as "bacterial SSU rRNA". It matches the Rfam family "Archaeal small subunit ribosomal RNA", at positions 432 to 747 of the family's 1478-position model. The record is from RNAcentral.
AAAGAAAGGGCCGGGCAAGACCGGUGCCAGCCGCCGCGGUAAUACCGGCGGCUCGAGUGGUGGCCACUUUUAUUGGGCUUAAAGCGUUCGUAGCUGGGUUGUUAAGUCUCUUGGGAAAUCUGGCAGCUUAACUGUCAGGCGUCUAAGAGAUACUGGCAAUCUAGGAACCGGGAGAGGUGAGGGGUACUUCGGGGGUAGGAGUGAAAUCCUGUAAUCCUCGAGGGACCACCUGUGGCGAAGGCGCCUCACCAGAACGGCUUCGACAGUGAGGGACGAAAGCUGGGGGAGCAAACCGGAUUAGAUACCCGUGUAGUCC